RNAcentral lists this ribosomal RNA (516 nucleotides) under Bacillus cereus. RNAcentral describes it as "bacterial SSU rRNA". It matches the Rfam family "Bacterial small subunit ribosomal RNA", at positions 147 to 648 of the family's 1533-position model. RNAcentral also lists the same sequence under 1 other name. The record is from RNAcentral. Lineage: Bacteria; Bacillati; Bacillota; Bacilli; Caryophanales; Bacillaceae.
CUCCGGGAAACCGGGGCUAAUACCGGAUAACAUUUUGAACCGCAUGGUUCGAAAUUGAAAGGCGGCUUCGGCUGUCACUUAUGGAUGGACCCGCGUCGCAUUAGCUAGUUGGUGAGGUAACGGCUCACCAAGGCAACGAUGCGUAGCCGACCUGAGAGGGUGAUCGGCCACACUGGGACUGAGACACGGCCCAGACUCCUACGGGAGGCAGCAGUAGGGAAUCUUCCGCAAUGGACGAAAGUCUGACGGAGCAACGCCGCGUGAGUGAUGAAGGCUUUCGGGUCGUAAACUCUGUUGUUAGGGAAGAACAAGUGCUAGUUGAAUAAGCUGGCACCUUGACGGUACCUAACCAGAAAGCCACGGCUAACUACGUGCCAGCAGCCGCGGUAAUACGUAGGUGGCAAGCGUUAUCCGGAAUUAUUGGGCGUAAAGCGCGCGCAGGUGGUUUCUUAAGUCUGAUGUGAAAGCCCACGGCUCAACCGUGGAGGGUCAUUGGAAAACUGGGAGACUUGAGUG